Molecule: ribosomal RNA, 595 nt
Filed under: Polaromonas sp. HRRK032
Lineage: Bacteria; Pseudomonadati; Pseudomonadota; Betaproteobacteria; Burkholderiales; Comamonadaceae
Description: bacterial SSU rRNA
Rfam family: Bacterial small subunit ribosomal RNA
Source: RNAcentral
ACGGGUGAGUAAUAUAUCGGAACGUGCCCAAUCGUGGGGGAUAACGUAGAGAAAUUUACGCUAAUACCGCAUACGAUCUAAGGAUGAAAGCGGGGGAUCGCAAGACCUCGCGCGAUUGGAGCGGCUGAUAUCAGAUUAGGUUGUUGGUGAGGUAAAAGCUCACCAAGCCGACGAUCUGUAGCUGGUUUGAGAGAACGACCAGCCACACUGGGACUGAGACACGGCCCAGACUCCUACGGGAGGCAGCAGUGGGGAAUUUUGGACAAUGGGCGAAAGCCUGAUCCAGCAAUGCCGCGUGCAGGAAGAAGGCCUUCGGGUUGUAAACUGCUUUUGUACGGAACGAAACGGCUCUUUCUAAUAAAGAGGGCUAAUGACGGUACCGUAAGAAUAAGCACCGGCUAACUACGUGCCAGCAGCCGCGGUAAUACGUAGGGUGCGAGCGUUAAUCGGAAUUACUGGGCGUAAAGCGUGCGCAGGCGGUUAUAUAAGACAGUUGUGAAAUCCCCGGGCUCAACCUGGGAAUUGCAUCUGUGACUGUAUAGCUAGAGUACGGUAGAGGGGGAUGGAAUUCCGCGUGUAGCAGUGAAAUGCGUAG